Molecule: long non-coding RNA, 284 nt
Filed under: Homo sapiens (human)
Lineage: Eukaryota; Metazoa; Chordata; Mammalia; Primates; Hominidae
Description: non-protein coding lnc-VSTM2B-5:8
Source: RNAcentral
AGUCCUGCAGGGCGGGGCAAACUUGGAGAGGCGCUGCGUCGGGGGACGGGGCUACAAGCCGUCGCUGGGGGCGGGGCUUGCGGCCCACCUGUAGGUCCCGGUGCCACCUCGUCAGUGUCCCGAGAGAUCCCCAGAAGAACGAGAGGGCUGAACAGGGGACCCCACUGACGUCCGGUGGGCCGACUUUACGAUCCUUUAGGGUAAAAAUUUCAUCUAGGAAGACCUAGAGAUAACAAUAAACGAUUAUAGUUUAACUUAGGAUGGUAAUAUAUCUCAACUACGAC